UACGGGGGGAGCAAGCGUUGUUCGGAUUUACUGGGCGUAAAGGGCGCGUAGGCGGCCACCGCAAGUCGGUUGUGAAAUCUCUGGGCUUAACCCAGAAAGGUCAACCGAUACUGCGGGGCUAGAGUGCAGAAGGGGCAACUGGAAUUCUCGGUGUAGCGGUGAAAUGCGUAGAUAUCGAGAGGAACACCUGCGGCGAAGGCGGGUCUCUGGGCCGAUACUGACGCUGAGGAGCGAAAGCGUGGGGAGCGAACAGG
Molecule: ribosomal RNA, 254 nt
Filed under: uncultured bacterium
Lineage: Bacteria
Description: partial 16S ribosomal RNA
Rfam family: Bacterial small subunit ribosomal RNA
Source: RNAcentral